Molecule: ribosomal RNA, 892 nt
Filed under: uncultured bacterium
Lineage: Bacteria
Description: bacterial SSU rRNA
Rfam family: Bacterial small subunit ribosomal RNA
Source: RNAcentral
AACGAACGCUGGCGGCGUGCUUAACACAUGCAAGUCGAACGGAAUUAGGGGCUUGCUCCUAAUUUAGUGGCGCACGGGUGAGUAACGCGUGGAUAACCUACCCUGGUAUCUGGGAUAACAUCUCGAAAGGGGUGCUAAUACCGGAUAAGCCCACGGUCUCUUCGGGGAUUGCGGGAAAAGAUGGCCUCUAUUUAUAAGCUAUCGUAUCAGGAUGGGUCCGCGUACCAUUAGCUAGUUGGUGGUGUAAUGGGCCACCAAGGCGACGAUGGUUAGCUGGUCUGAGAGGAUGAUCAGCCACACUGGAACUGAGACACGGUCCAGACUCCUACGGGAGGCAGCAGUGGGGAAUUUUGCGCAAUGGGGGAAACCCUGACGCAGCAACGCCGCGUGAGUGAUGAAGGCCUUCGGGUCGUAAAGCUCUGUCAGAGGGGAAGAAGUGAUAGUGUGCUAAUACCACAUUAUCUUGACGGUACCCUCAAAGGAAGCACCGGCUAACUCCGUGCCAGCAGCCGCGGUAAUACGGAGGGUGCAAGCGUUGUUCGGAUUUAUUGGGCGUAAAGCGCGUGUAGGCGGUCUUUUAAGUCUGAUGUGAAAGCCCCGGGCUCAACCCGGGAAGUGCAUUGGAAACUGGGAGACUUGAAUACGGGAGAGGGUAGUGGAAUUCCUAGUGUAGGAGUGAAAUCCGUAGAUAUUAGGAGGAACACCGGUGGCGAAGGCGGCUACCUGGACCGAUAUUGACGCUGAGACGCGAAAGCGUGGGGAGCAAACAGGAUUAGAUACCCUGGUAGUCCACGCCGUAAACGAUGAGUACUAGGUGUUGCGGGUAUUGACCCCUGCAGUGCCGCAGCUAACGCAUUAAGUACUCCGCCUGGGAAGUACGGUCGCAAGACUA